UAAUAUUAAUUAGUAUAUUUAUUAAUAAUUAUUUAUUAAUACAUUCAUUAAAAUAAUUAUUUAUUAAAAUAACUAACGGUUACACUCUUUCCACCAUAAUACCGAGAUUUGUUAACGGCAAAUAGACCUUCAUAAAUUGCCAAUGAAUUUACAAAAACGCAAACUAAAAAAUCCACACAACGCCUGAAAUCCUCGAUAACCAUUAUAGGCAAACGAAAUCGAUUUUCUCACGGAUAACACUUAUAAGCAAUCGAAACUAGUGUUUCUUUCUACGAUAACUGUUGCGUCUAACAAAUUUCCUUUCCUUCGUCGUUCAUGAUUACGAACUAUAUAACUAUUACUUGUAACUAAAAAGCAACCGAAUGGAAAUAGUAAUUGUUAUGCAACGAUGUUUUCCGCUUCGGCUGUUUAUCAAAUUAUGCGAGCAACGUGCGAAGGACAUCUAACGACACGAAUGCGGGAACGGAGCGGAGAGAGGAGGAAUUUACGAAGAAGUUUCGCCGGUUUCUCUCCGUCUAUUAUUGAGCACAUUUUUCAGUUUGUUUCUUUUUUAUUAUGUUUCUCCGUCGAUUUCUCUGUCGCUGUUUCUGUGCCUCGGGAAACUCGAUCACGGGGAGCAAACCAUUCGACGCAGCGGAUGACCUAUCCACCGAUAGGCUAUCGGUCGCCACUCGAGCGUUCUUCAAAUUCGUCACGUAGAAUCAAAUCAUAGAAAUUCGACAACCGGAUACUAAUGCACUGCUCGUAGAGACGACCGGAGACUCGAUUAUUUACAAUGGACUAGGACAUUAAUUAAACAUGCACGGAUGAAACAUCGCGGAAAAUGCUUCGCUUGAAACGUGUUUCUCCAAGGUUAAUCGGUCAAACGAUACCAUCUUCGCGAUUACCGUAACCAUCUGUCCGUGACGCACAAGAUGAAACAAUAGAAUCACGAGGAUCAUCGGAUACAAUUUGCCGAGCUGCUUUAUUACUUUCUAGAACUAUACAAGGGGAAAUCCCCUAUAUCGACGUAUCGAUCAGAGGAGACAAAAACGCAGUUGACGGUCCAAAUACCAUAUAAUUAAAUACCAUAAUUAUAAUACCAUAAUUAAAAUCUAAAAAGUGUUUUCGUCAACGUUUAGUGGUGAUUUACCGAGGUGAUUGAUUUUGCGCGUAAAUACGUUUUUUAACAAUUGUCAUCGAUACCUUGUCAAGGCCGUUGUUAUUAACAAAUUCGUCGCGUUGUUAACAAGCAGGGAGAUACAUGCAACCCCGACAAAAAGAAAGGAAUCCUGAUUAAUGGAGCAAGUUUCCAACGCCUUGCCAUUCCAGACAUUCUAAGCGAAGCCAAGCUGACCGCAAGCGAACAGAUAUACAAGACACAAGCAAUUGAUCCGUCCUAUCAUCGAUAGAACGGAGCAGCGAAAACAUCGAAGGCAGGAGCAGCGAGGACGUCACAGCCAGGAACACAUAAAUCGGAGCGGAUAAAUUAAUUUAAUAAACACGUGUACGUAUAUACUUCGUUCGAAAUGAAUUGUUCGCUGCAUACCACUAUAAAAUAGAAAAUAAAAUUUUUUUUCCAAUAUUA
Molecule: long non-coding RNA, 1567 nt
Organism: Megalopta genalis
Lineage: Eukaryota; Metazoa; Arthropoda; Insecta; Hymenoptera; Halictidae
Source: RefSeq, a predicted model, not a curated record